CGUGCAGGCGGUUUGGCAAGUCGAGUGUGAAAUCCCACGGCUCAGCCGUGGAACUGCGCUCGAAACUGCCUUACUUGAGUGCGGGAGAGGUGUGCGGAAUUCCUGGUGUAGCGGUGGAAUGCGUAGAUAUCAGGAAGAACACCGGUGGCGAAGGCGGCACACUGGCCCAGCACUGACGCUGAGGCGCGAAAGCGUGGGGAGCGAACG
RNAcentral lists this ribosomal RNA (207 nucleotides) under uncultured bacterium. Its description in RNAcentral is "partial 16S ribosomal RNA". It matches the Rfam family "Bacterial small subunit ribosomal RNA", at positions 568 to 774 of the family's 1533-position model. The record is from RNAcentral.